Molecule: small RNA, 28 nt
Filed under: Bombyx mori (domestic silkworm)
Lineage: Eukaryota; Metazoa; Arthropoda; Insecta; Lepidoptera; Bombycidae
Description: ovarian small RNA-14503
Source: RNAcentral
CGGGCGGUAAAGGCCGCGCUCUAAGCCA